Molecule: ribosomal RNA, 301 nt
Filed under: uncultured bacterium
Lineage: Bacteria
Description: partial 16S ribosomal RNA
Rfam family: Bacterial small subunit ribosomal RNA
Source: RNAcentral
CAGUCGCCGCGGUAAUACGUAGGGUGCAAGCGUUAAUCGGAAUUACUGGGCGUAAAGCGUGCGCAGGCGGUUUGUUAAGACAGAUGUGAAAUCCCCGGGCUCAACCUGGGAACUGCAUUUGUGGCUGGCAAGCUAGAGUAUGGCAGAGGGGGGUGGAAUUCCGCGUGUAGCAGUGAAAUGCGUAGAUAUGCGGAGGAACACCGAUGGCGAAGGCAGCCCCCUGGGCCAAUACUGACGCUCAUGCACGAAAGCGUGGGGAGCAAACAGGAUUAGAUACCCCCGUAGUCCCUGUCUCUUAUAC